This 220-nucleotide long non-coding RNA is filed under the name Fukomys damarensis (Damara mole-rat). RNAcentral's name for it is "lncRNA (ENSFDAG00000022438.1)". The record is from RNAcentral. Lineage: Eukaryota; Metazoa; Chordata; Mammalia; Rodentia; Bathyergidae.
GAGGUCAGAGGCUAGAUGCUCUGCCCUGGUCUCUUUGCUGAGAGGCUCCUACCACAGCUCUAAGUGGUGCGGCAGUGCAAGCCCAACAAUGAUUUUCUACUCAGGCUCAAGACUAGCCACCUGCUGCACAAAACACCAGGGCAAGGAGGGAAAAGAAGCAUGAACCAUUGGGUAAGCCACGUGACUGCACAACUGACCCAGAGCGACCAUCAGAAGGGGG